AGAGUUUGAUCCUGGCUCAGGAUAAACGCUGGCGGCGUGCCUAACACAUGCAAGUCGAACGCGCUCAGCAAUGAGCGAGUGGCGGACGGGUGAGUAACACGUGGGAACCUACCUUGAGGUGAGGGAUACCGGCGAGAAAUCGCCGACAAGACCGCAUAGGCUUCCAAUGGAAGCAAAGCUUCUUUUCGGAGGAGCGCCCC
This 200-nucleotide ribosomal RNA is filed under the name uncultured bacterium. RNAcentral describes it as "partial 16S ribosomal RNA". It matches the Rfam family "Bacterial small subunit ribosomal RNA", at positions 8 to 221 of the family's 1533-position model. The record is from RNAcentral.